RNAcentral lists this ribosomal RNA (427 nucleotides) under uncultured bacterium. RNAcentral describes it as "partial 16S ribosomal RNA". It matches the Rfam family "Bacterial small subunit ribosomal RNA", at positions 355 to 774 of the family's 1533-position model. The record is from RNAcentral.
UGGGGAAUAUUGCACAAUGGGCGCAAGCCUGAUGCAGCCAUGCCGCGUGUAUGAAGAAGGCCUUCGGGUUGUAAAGUACUUUCAGCGGGGAGGAAGGCGAUAAGGUUAAUAACCUUGUCGAUUGACGUUACCCGCAGAAGAAGCACCGGCUAACUCCGUGCCAGCAGCCGCGGUAAUACGGAGGGUGCAAGCGUUAAUCGGAAUUACUGGGCGUAAAUCGCACGCAGGCGGUCUGUCAAGUCGGAUGUGAAAUCCCCGGGCUCAACCUGGGAACUGCAUUCGAAACUGGCAGUCUAGAGUCUUGUAGAGGGGGGUAGAAUUCCAGGUGUAGCGGUGAAAUGCGUAGAGAUCUGGAGGAAUACCGGUGGCGAAGGCGGCCCCCUGGACAAAGACUGACGCUCAGGUGCGAAAGCGUGGGGAGCAAACA